AAAGUAAUUGACCCAACCUUGCUAAUAGGCAAUACAAAUCUGUCAGUUGUCGUUAGACUGUUUUUCUUUUUUGCUACAUUUCUGAGAAACUUGCCAUGUUUAAACCUUUAUACAAUAAGCUACAAAAUAUUUUUUGUCUGCUUUGUUUAUUCCAGGCCCAUUAUAGGGAAGUUUGUCCCUGUACAUCACAGGGAAGUUGGUCAAGGUCCAUCAUAAGGAAGUUGGUCCAGGCCCAUCACAGAGAAGUUGCUUCAUGUCCAUCACAGGGAAGUUGGUCCAGGUCCAUCAUAAGGAAGUUGACCCAGGUCCA
This is a long non-coding RNA of Alosa sapidissima (American shad), 310 nucleotides long. RefSeq lists it as uncharacterized. NCBI's taxonomy places the organism in Eukaryota, Metazoa, Chordata, Actinopteri, Clupeiformes, Clupeidae. The record is from RefSeq and is a predicted model, not a curated record. The transcript is spliced from 3 exons.